GGGCGUGUGCUGGAAUUGGUAGACAGGGUGGUCUCAAAAACCACUGGUGGCAACACCGUGACGGUUCAAAUCCGUCCACGCCUACCA
RNAcentral lists this transfer RNA (87 nucleotides) under Alphaproteobacteria bacterium MarineAlpha6_Bin5. RNAcentral's name for it is "tRNA-Leu". It matches the Rfam family "tRNA". Rfam says of the family: Transfer RNA (tRNA) molecules are approximately 80 nucleotides in length. Their secondary structure includes four short double-helical elements and three loops (D, anti-codon, and T loops). RNAcentral also lists the same sequence under 1 other name. The record is from RNAcentral. Lineage: Bacteria; Pseudomonadati; Pseudomonadota; Alphaproteobacteria.